CAGAGGGAGAGCCGCCCGCUUGGUGCGUGCUGUGCGUCAGGGCCCAUCUCAAAAUGGCGGUGCACUCGAACCUGAGCGGCCCGUCGCUCCCUCAACUGUCGGAUACAAAUAAAACGGAGGGCGAGAGCUCCGCGCAGCAGCUGGAAAAUGAAAAUCGUGUCCAGAUGGACUUAUAUGAUGAUUUGAUUGGUGAUAUAAUAGGAGUACCUUUAAAAAAAGAGGUAGAACCAAAAAAGGACAAUUUGGAGUGCACAUCAAAUAAUAUACUCAUCCCAAUUAAAGCUGACCCGUCUAAAAGUUGUGAUCCGGAAUAUAUUGAUGCACCACUUCAUAAAAAACUUAUGUUGAUUGGAAAUCUGACGUGGUGGACUACCAGUGAUGACUUAUUAGCUGCCAUUCAUUCUGCUGGAAUAUCUAGUGUUGAUGAUAUGAAAUUUUACGAAGUUGCAAAAGGUGGUCAGUCCAAGGGGUUUGCUAGUGUGACAUUGUCUUUGAAAAGUGAUAUACAAAGAUUGUUAAAGAUUCUUCCAAAAAAAGAAGUUCAUGGAAGGAACCUGGAUGUCCGGCAUUUUACGAAAGCAAAUUACCAGUAUUUUGAAACCCAGUUCAUAAAUGCAAUGGAAAAAUCAAAGUUGCAUUCAGCACACUGUGAUAUUUUUGGUUGCAAUGGAAAUGACAACCAAUUUGUAUUUGAUCCUGUGGAAGAAGGAUAUCCAGACCCAAUUCCAUGGCAGAUCCAGCAGAAGUUUUCAACGUUUAUAAAUCUUCGUUCGUUGACAAAGGAUCCAGUAGUCCCGGACAAAACCUUUCCACCGUUCCCACAUCCACAAAUCAGACAAAUCACUUCAGUUGUUGAAACUAAACUCCAUCACGGCUCUACACCAUUUUCAAACAAUAUGUUAUUACAAAAUUUGACUUCUUUGGCUGUACCACCUGUGAGCAUAUCAGCUGCGAAUAUUCCAUCUCCAGUUGUUGGUGCAUUUCCCCAGUUUUUCUUCAAAUACUUAACUUCGUUGGGAAUACCACUUACAAACAUCCCAGCUCCACUUCUCAGUACAUUUCCAAGAUUUUUCUUACAAAGCUUACCUUCGUCGCCAGUAUCACCUGUGAACGUUCCAAUUCCGGUUCUUAGUGGACAUGGACUAAGUCAGAUAUCUCAAACUUCUUGUGUUAAUCCUGCGACAUUCAUAACACCAACAAUAAUGGGUCUUUCCACCUUGGACAAUAAUAAGACUCCACCUGUGUAUAAUACGUAUCAUAAGGAUUACAAGUUAUCAGGAAGGGAAACAGGUGUUCAAGAGACAUUGCAAAGCAUAGAGGAGCCUAUUAAAGAACUUGAUAGCAAAGGAACGUUUUCAACCAAUGAUGAUGGAAACAAUGAUUAUGGGAAUCUGCUGCAGCUUGUUUCUUUUGUUAAAAAGUCCAAAGCAAUUGCACCAGACAGCUUCAGGGAUUCAGUAAACUGUCCUCCAAAUCAACUUCAUGAGAGAGAGGCCAGCCCAAGCAGCUCAGGAUUACGGGAGCAUGAAUACACUGGACAAAGAAAAAAUCAAAGAUCUAGAGAGACAAGUGGAUAUCUGCGAGAUCGGUCCAGAAGUCCAGGUUCCUGUGAUAGUUAUCAAGAGAAAAGAAUGGAUUAUGAUCGCAAAAGACAACGGAGUUAUGAAAGAAGUUACUAUGGAAAUUCACCUUCAGUUCAUCAACAUUGGGACAGCUAUGGCUCUGAUCGGGACAGCCGAGGCCGUGAUCGGGACAACUAUGGCCGUGAUCGGGACAGCUAUGGCCGUGAUCGGGACAGCUAUGGCCGUGAUCGGGACAGCCGUGACCGUGAUCGGGACAGCCGUGACCGUGACCGUGAUCGGGACGGCCGUGGCCAUGAUCGGGACAGCCGUGGCCACAAAAAAGACAGGUUUGACCAUGACAGGGACAGCUCUGAUUGUGAAAGACAUUAUUUCUCCAAAAGGUGUCACUUUCGGGAUAGUGAUCCUCGGCAUGGUUACUAUGAAAAGAGUGAAAAAGGACACUAUUACAGUGACGGAACGUAUUGUAAAAUAAAUCAGAAAAGGGACAGAGAAUACCAAUUUUGAUGGUUUUAUGUCAUUCUUGCCAUAUUUUUAAGAGGCUGGUGACUUAUGUACAGAAUCUCAACCAACAAGGUUCUCACAAGUAAUCUAUCCAAGUUUACCACCUUCCCACGGACAACAAAAGUCAUUGGUCAGUACUUGCACCUAGACCUUUUAUGUUCCCCACCUUAUUGUCAUGUCACAUUUAUACUGUUUCCUUGCGUUUAUUUCAUUAAGAAAACUGAUAAUGUUAGGACUACAGUAUUUUUAGUAAUGUAAUUUUGUCUUGUCUUGCACAGAACACAAUUGCUUGAAAGUAGAUAUACGUUCAGGAUCCUGUAUUUCAAUGUCUUUGCUUGUAGAUUACCUUGAAAUUGAUAUUACCUUGAAAUUAUAUAAAAUAAACAACUACAUAAAGUUGCUUCAGAAAUGGAUGAAGUAAUUUGGCUUCAAAACCAGGAUUAAUAACAGAGGUUGAUGUAAGCUACAGCAUGUUGCAUCUAAUGUAUUUGUCCUACACCAGUUAUGUGUAUGCAAAGUUUAGAAAAGUGUUUAUAUAUUUCAAAAAUUAUGAAACUUCUCAGGUGUCAAAUAAAAGACAAUUUAACUUUUCAUGGCCACAUGAUUAGAAUUCUUUUCCAAUGCAUUCAAUGGCUAUAUUGAUUUUUGAUCUGUUGGCACUGGCAAUAGCAUUGGCACACAAAUAUUAAACACUGUAAGCACUGGAGAUCUGGAAUUAUGAGAGAAGAGGGAAAGAUGAAAAUGCUCAGUGGACCUCAGAAUACCCGAGGCAAUUAAAAAAAAAAAUAUAUAGUUUGUGACCUUGCGUUAGAAUUGGGAAAAAUUAGGAAUGGAGACUUUGGGCAAAUGAAAGGUAUUAAGAAUAACAAGAAAGGUCUGUGGCUGGAUGGAGGGAAGAAGAACUUAAAUGAAAAGAGGAUUUAAUGGUACCAAGACAAAGGAAAAGGUAAAGAAACAAAAAAAAAAGUUGUCUGGAGGGGCAUGAAUGGCCAGGAAAGGAAUAGGAGAAAAAUGAAAGAGAAAAAAAAACUCAAAGCAAAAUAGGGAAGGUGGAAGGAGAGCUUAUUAUAUAAAAUCAUUGACUACACCAUGUGUUCAGACAACAGCUAUCCCCCCUUUGGCUUGUAACGUGGAACCUUUUUCAUUUAUUCUUUUCAUGUUAGUGAUAGGAAGUCUGGACAGAUGACAGCCAAUAUGUAAUAUCUGGUACUCUUACUGUGGUUUGCCUACAUUGAGUCUUGUAUUUUUAGAGUAGAUGGAGCAAGCUGUUAAUGCUCCAGCAUUUGAGUUGCUUCAGGCUUGGUCAUGUAGAGGGCUACCAAUCUAGUCAUAUCCGUAUAGUUUUGUAAAUGGUAAAACUUCGGAAUAGAUCAGUCUCCUGUUGCUUAAUUGUACUAAGCCCCUGAGCAUGAAUUGAUUUCCUAAAGUCAGUAAAACUAAGAUACUAUAAUCCAAUACUUAAUGGAUAUAACCUUUAUGAAAUAUUGGAGAUGUUGAUUAAUCAUUCCAUUUUCCAAGCGUUUUAAUGAUUUCUUUUGUUCAGUUCACAACUUCUGUUCAGUUUCACAGGUUUGUAUACAAUAAGAUCUCCAUUACCCCUAUCCUUG
Molecule: RNA transcript, 3691 nt
Organism: Hemiscyllium ocellatum (epaulette shark)
Lineage: Eukaryota; Metazoa; Chordata; Chondrichthyes; Orectolobiformes; Hemiscylliidae
Gene name: cleavage and polyadenylation specificity factor subunit 6-like
Exons: 11
Source: RefSeq, a predicted model, not a curated record